RNAcentral lists this transfer RNA (85 nucleotides) under Psychrosphaera saromensis. Its description in RNAcentral is "tRNA-Leu". It matches the Rfam family "tRNA". Rfam says of the family: Transfer RNA (tRNA) molecules are approximately 80 nucleotides in length. Lineage: Bacteria; Pseudomonadati; Pseudomonadota; Gammaproteobacteria; Alteromonadales; Pseudoalteromonadaceae. The record is from RNAcentral.
GCGGAUGUGGUGGAAUUGGUAGACACGCAGGCAUGAGGUGCCUGUGCCGCAAGGCGUGAGAGUUCAAGUCUCUCCAUCCGCACCA